RNAcentral lists this ribosomal RNA (366 nucleotides) under uncultured eukaryote. RNAcentral's name for it is "partial 18S ribosomal RNA". The record is from RNAcentral.
AUUCCCCGUUACCCGUUGAAACCAUGGUAGGCCACUAUCCUACCAUCGAAAGUUGAUAGGGCAGAAAUUUGAAUGAACCAUCGCCGGCACAAGGCCAUGCGAUUCGUUAAGUUAUCAUGAAUCACCAAGGAGCCCCGAAGGGCAUUGGUUUUUUAUCUAAUAAAUACACCCCUUCCAGAAGUCAGGGUUUUAUUGCAUGUAUUAGCUCUAGAAUUACCACAGUUAUCCAUGUAGCAAGGUACCAUCAAAUAAACUAUAACUGAUUUAAUGAGCCAUUCGCAGUUUCACAGUACAAACUUGUUUAUACUUAGACAUGCAUGGCUUAAUCUUUGAGACAAGCAUAUGACUACUGGCAGGAUCAACCAG